UACGUAGGGGGCAAGCGUUAUCCGGAUUUACUGGGUGUAAAGGGAGCGCAGGCGGCACGGCAAGCCUGAUGUGAAAGCCCGCGGCCCAACCGCGGGACUGCAUUGGGAACUACCGGGCUGGAGUGCCGGAGAGGUAGGCGGAAUCCCUAGUGUAGCGGUGAAAUGCGUAGAUAUUAGGAGGAACACCAGUGGCGAAGGCGGCCUACUGGACGGUGACUGACGCUGAGGCUCGAAAGCGUGGGGAGCAAACAGG
Molecule: ribosomal RNA, 253 nt
Filed under: uncultured bacterium
Lineage: Bacteria
Description: partial 16S ribosomal RNA
Rfam family: Bacterial small subunit ribosomal RNA
Source: RNAcentral